This 213-nucleotide long non-coding RNA is filed under the name Setaria italica (foxtail millet). RNAcentral describes it as "long non-coding RNA (SITA_LNC006287)". The record is from RNAcentral. Lineage: Eukaryota; Viridiplantae; Streptophyta; Magnoliopsida; Poales; Poaceae.
AAAGUUCUUCUGUUGCAUAAAUGAACGUUCAUGCCUGCACAGGUCGGAUCCAUGGAGCAGAGUCACCGUCGGUUGGGGACUAUCGUGGUUGCAACGAUCACCCGAGUUCUAAUUAUAAAGGAGCGUGCUUUAUACCGUUCAACGACAUAGCCUGCAAGCGUGUAUGCUUAGACGAAAGCAGCGACAAUAUUUCCGGCUACUGUUACGUUUUCU